CUCUACUUUCUUCCUCUUUCUUUAAAGAAGAGGGAGAUAGCAAGGUAACAUCUCAUAACAGUUCUGGAAGAUCUCGAGAAAAUUUCAAAAAGAAAUUUUCUAUUUAAAAAAAAAUUCCCUUCCAAUUGGUUCCCACAAACCAAUCUCUAACUCAGAGAAUAUAAAUGUUUCAAGUGGUGGUGAUGCCUCAAUUUGGAGUUUUAGUAGAUACAAAGUCAUCAACGACGUUUCCCCUUGAGCUUCGUCUAAAAAUUGGGUGAAAAUGAAAUGGAGAUUGACUUGAGCGGCGGAGAAAUGCUCCAAAUGGUUUUGUGUUUAAUGUUCUUUUCCCACCUUUUCUUUUUCUUUUAAUCCUUUUUAUUAAUAUUUUCCUUUUCCUAUUUUAAUUACUUAACAAAUAUAUAUAUUUCCAUUUUCUUUUUUAUUUCUCCAAUUAAUAAAUUCCAAAAUUAAUAGAACAA
Molecule: long non-coding RNA, 461 nt
Organism: Cucumis melo (muskmelon)
Lineage: Eukaryota; Viridiplantae; Streptophyta; Magnoliopsida; Cucurbitales; Cucurbitaceae
Exons: 2
Source: RefSeq, a predicted model, not a curated record